GGCGACUUGUCCGAGUGGUUAGGUAAGAGUCUGCAAAACUCUCUACAGCGGUUCAAUUCCGCUAGUCGCCUCCG
This 74-nucleotide transfer RNA is filed under the name bacterium. Its description in RNAcentral is "tRNA-Cys". It matches the Rfam family "tRNA". Rfam says of the family: Transfer RNA (tRNA) molecules are approximately 80 nucleotides in length. The record is from RNAcentral.